AGUUCUCUCCUUGAGCUGUAUUGUGAGCAGAGUCUCCAUAUCUUUUUUUUUACAUCGUGGCGACCAAAACAGAAUGCAGUAUGGAGGGCUUGGUCUCCAUUUUGUCUUAUUUUUCUCCACCACAAGCAAAACUUCACCAAUGCACAACUUUAGGAUCUCAAUGAUCUGAAUUUCAGGAUAAAGACAAGGAGCAAAGCACCAAGGUUACCAAAACAAUAACUCUGUCCGUCCUUCUACCAUUUCUCAAACUCUAUUCUAUCUUGUCCCCGACGAACAAGGCAAAACAAGGUUUUUGUGGUUUCGUUGCCAAGAACUCUCCGUCCCACCUUCUUUCCCCAACAUCAACAACCUCCUGUGAUCUCGUCGCCUUCCUGCCUCCCGUGAUGUUUGUUUUGAUAACCUGCUCCAGCAGUUUCAACUGUUAUCUGCCCACCCUUUCUCCAAGAAGUCUACCAUCCAGCCUUAUCUUCGGUCUUCUACGAUGAAAUUUCAAAACAGUUUCUUGCUGUCUUGCUUUCCUCCGGCUCCAUCCAAGUCACGUGUGAUGCUUAGCGCCAAAGACCUUGGAUAGCUAAGACACAACUUUGCCUUUGUUGACAGGUCGCCUCCUCGGAGAAGGUUUUCGAGCCUAGCAUGGGGCCUCCUGUUAUCUUCAGGUCUUUCUAGGCUAACAAUGAUUUCAUUGCACGGCAAUCUUCUUAUCUCAGUGUUCGGUAGUAAACCUUUGGGAUUGUU
This is a non-coding RNA of Pantherophis guttatus, 735 nucleotides long. The record is from RefSeq and is a predicted model, not a curated record. NCBI's taxonomy places the organism in Eukaryota, Metazoa, Chordata, Lepidosauria, Squamata, Colubridae.